RNAcentral lists this ribosomal RNA (123 nucleotides) under Petromyzon marinus (sea lamprey). The record is from RNAcentral. Lineage: Eukaryota; Metazoa; Chordata; Hyperoartia; Petromyzontiformes; Petromyzontidae.
GCCUACGGCCAGAUCGGCUGCAACGUGCCCGAUCUCAUCACGUCUCGGGAAGCUAAGCAGAUUUGAGCCUGGAUAGCGCUCUGAUGGGUGACCGCCGUGCACGCUACAAGGUGAAUAUAGGCA